AACGCACAUUGCGCCCCCUGGUAUUCCGGGGGGCAUGCCUGUCCGAGCGUCAUUGCAACCUUCAAGCGCGGCUUGUGUAUUGGGCCUCGUCCCCCGUGGACGGGCCUGAAAGGCAGUGGCGGUGCCGAUUUUCGGUGCCUGAGCGUAUGGGGAUCAUCUCCGCUCUUUAGGCCCGGUCGGCGCCCGUCGUCACCAAAUUUUUUACCGGUUGACCUCGGAUCAGGUAGGGAUACCCGCUGAACUUAA
RNAcentral lists this unclassified non-coding RNA (246 nucleotides) under uncultured Auxarthron. Its description in RNAcentral is "sequence contains ITS2". The stretch from base 1 to 52 matches the Rfam family "5.8S ribosomal RNA", at positions 103 to 154 of the family's 154-position model. Lineage: Eukaryota; Fungi; Ascomycota; Eurotiomycetes; Onygenales. The record is from RNAcentral.